This 211-nucleotide ribosomal RNA is filed under the name uncultured bacterium. RNAcentral's name for it is "partial 16S ribosomal RNA". It matches the Rfam family "Bacterial small subunit ribosomal RNA", at positions 1289 to 1500 of the family's 1533-position model. The record is from RNAcentral.
CAGUUCGGAUUGAAGGCUGAAAUUCGCCUUCAUGAAGCCGGAAUUGCUAGUAAUGGCAGGUCAGCAUACUGCCGUGAAUACGUUCCCGGGCCUUGUACACACCGCCCGUCACACCAUGAGAGUUGGGAAUACCCGAAGCCUGUGAGCUAACGUUAAGAGGCAGCAGUCGAAGGUAGAAUCAAUGAUUGGGGUGAAGUCGUAACAAGGUAAC